AAGUCGAGCGCACCUUCGGGGCGAGCGGCGGACGGGUUAGUAACGCGUGGGAACGUGCCCUUCUCUAAGGGAAUAGCCUCUGGAAACGGAGAGUAAUACUUUAUACGCCCUUUCGGGGGAAAGAUUUAUCGGAGAAGGAUCGGCCCGCGUUAGAUUAGAUAGUUGGUGGGGUAACGGCCUACCAAGUCUACGAUCUAUAGCUGGUUUUAGAGGAUGAUCAGCAACACUGGGACUGAGACACGGCCCAGACUCCUACGGGAGGCAGCAGUGGGGAAUCUUAGACAAUGGGCGCAAGCCUGAUCUAGCCAUGCCGCGUGUGUGAUGAAGGCCUUAGGGUCGUAAAGCACUUUCGCCAGAGAUGAUAAUGACAGUAUCUGGUAAAGAAACCCCGGCUAACUCCGUGCCAGCAGCCGCGGUAAUACGGAGGGGGUUAGCGUUGUUCGGAAUUACUGGGCGUAAAGCGUACGUAGGCGGAUCAGAAAGUAUGGGGUGAAAUCCCAGGGCUCAACCCUGGAACUGCCUCAUAAACUCCUGGUCUAGAGUUCGAGAGAGGUGAGUGGAAUUCCGAGUGUAGAGGUGAAAUUCGUAGAUAU
RNAcentral lists this ribosomal RNA (593 nucleotides) under uncultured Shimia sp. RNAcentral describes it as "bacterial SSU rRNA". It matches the Rfam family "Bacterial small subunit ribosomal RNA", at positions 59 to 697 of the family's 1533-position model. The record is from RNAcentral. Lineage: Bacteria; Pseudomonadati; Pseudomonadota; Alphaproteobacteria; Rhodobacterales; Roseobacteraceae.